RNAcentral lists this ribosomal RNA (566 nucleotides) under Pichia kluyveri. Its description in RNAcentral is "eukaryotic LSU rRNA". It matches the Rfam family "Eukaryotic large subunit ribosomal RNA", at positions 74 to 658 of the family's 3401-position model. The record is from RNAcentral. Lineage: Eukaryota; Fungi; Ascomycota; Pichiomycetes; Pichiales; Pichiaceae.
AUUGCCUCAGUAGCGGCGAGUGAAGCGGCAAGAGCUCAGAUUUGAAAUCUCACCUAGUGUGCGAGUUGUAAAUUGCAGGUUGGAGUCUCGGGUUAGACGUGUGUGCAAGUCCCUUGGAACAGGGUGCCACUGAGGGUGAGAGCCCCGUAGCGUGCAUGUCGACACCUGUGAGGCCCUUCUGACGAGUCGAGUUGUUUGGGAAUGCAGCUCUAAGUGGGUGGUAAAUUCCAUCUAAGGCUAAAUAUUGGCGAGAGACCGAUAGCGAACAAGUACUGUGAAGGAAAGAUGAAAAGCACUUUGAAAAGAGAGUGAAACAGCACGUGAAAUUGUUGAAAGGGAAGGGUAUUGGGCUCGACAUGGGAUUUACGCAUCGUUGCCUCUCGUGGGCGGCGCUCUGGGUUUUUCCUGGGCCAGCAUCGGUUUUCGUUGCAGGAUAAGGACAAUUGGAAUGUGGCUCCUCGGAGUGUUAUAGCCUUUUGUAGAUGCUGCGUAUGGGGACCGAGGGCUGCGGCGGACUCGUUUCGUCUCGGAUGCUGGCACAACGGCGCAAUACCGCCCGUCUUGAA